Molecule: ribosomal RNA, 497 nt
Filed under: uncultured bacterium
Lineage: Bacteria
Description: partial 16S ribosomal RNA
Rfam family: Bacterial small subunit ribosomal RNA
Source: RNAcentral
GAUGAACGCUGGCGGCGUGCCUAAUACAUGCGAGUCGAGCGAACAGACGAGGAGCUUGCUCCUCUGACGUUAGCAGCGGACGGGUGAGUAACACGUGGAUAACCUACCUAUAAGACUGGGAUAACUUCGGGAAACCGGAGCUAAUACCGGAUAAUAUAUUGAACCGCAUGGUUCAAUAGUGAAAGACGGUUUUGCUGUCACUUAUAGAUGGAUCCGCGCCGCAUUAGCUAGUUGGUAAGGUAACGGCUUACCGAGGCGACGAUGCGUAGCCGACCUGAGAGGGUGAUCGGCCACACUGGAACUGAGACACGGUCCAGACUCCUACGGGAGGCAGCAGUAGGGAAUCUUCCGCAAUGGGCGAAAGCCUGACGGAGCAACGCCGCGUGAGUGAUGAAGGUCUUCGGAUCGUAAAACUCUGUUAUUAGGGAAGAACAAAUGUGUAAGUAACUAUGCACGUCUUGACGGUACCUAAUCAGAAAGCCACGGCUAACUACGUG